This 641-nucleotide long non-coding RNA is filed under the name Homo sapiens (human). RNAcentral's name for it is "HSALNT0152075". Lineage: Eukaryota; Metazoa; Chordata; Mammalia; Primates; Hominidae. The record is from RNAcentral.
CAAAUAUCUUCUUGGAAGGGACCAGCCGCGUUUGGUGGAAAUGAGGUGGGCCUGGCUCAGUGAGUAGAAGGCCUCAAAAGCAAAGCAGCGGCUUUUCUGAGAAAGAGGAAACUCCCACCAGGGACAGUAGCCUCAGCGGUGCCCACAGUUCCAGCCACCCUUCCCUGUGGUCGGCCCCAUGGAUUUCAAAUGCGCCUGGUCAGACCCAACAACCAAGUAAGUCGAUUCCCUGUGACAAAUCUUUUCAUAUAUAUCUCCUACGAGUUUUGUUUCUCUAGUUGGACCCUGACAGGUACACUCCUCAAAUCACCCCAAAACAAUGGAGAGAAACAGCAACUAGAAAUACAACGUCCAUCUUGGCAGAAAUCGGGGCCUCCUAUAGCCCCAAACCUCAGUGGAGGGGAAAGGAGGAAGAGAGAUGCCAAGAGAAGACGCUGCAGUGCCAGACCUGAGCCCUGCCCAGGUCAGCACAGCCCUCCUGGGUAGGAGCCCACCAGCAAGUCAGGAUGUGGUACACAAAAGCAGGUGAGGGGCUCAGAGUGGGCUCCCCUAAGCCCUGCAACACCCCCAAAGAGGGACAGGGAAGGUGGGCUGAGAGACAAAACACCCAGGUGUUCUCUGCCGAGUGGGCAAGAGGCAUG